RNAcentral lists this transfer RNA (75 nucleotides) under Salicibibacter kimchii. RNAcentral describes it as "tRNA-Cys". It matches the Rfam family "tRNA". Rfam says of the family: Transfer RNA (tRNA) molecules are approximately 80 nucleotides in length. Their secondary structure includes four short double-helical elements and three loops (D, anti-codon, and T loops). Further hydrogen bonds mediate the characteristic L-shaped molecular structure. tRNAs have two regions of fundamental functional importance: the anti-codon, which is responsible for specific mRNA codon recognition, and the 3' end, to which the tRNAs corresponding amino acid is attached (by aminoacyl-tRNA synthetases). tRNAs cope with the degeneracy of the genetic code in two manners: having more than one tRNA (with a specific anti-codon) for a particular amino acid; and 'wobble' base-pairing, i.e. permitting non-standard base-pairing at the 3rd anti-codon position. Lineage: Bacteria; Bacillati; Bacillota; Bacilli; Caryophanales; Bacillaceae. The record is from RNAcentral.
GGCGGCAUAGCCAAGUGGUAAGGCAGGGGUCUGCAAAACCUCUACGCCCCGGUUCAAAUCCGGGUGCCGCCUCCA